CGGGACCACCCGGUAAGCCUAAAUACUCCUCGAUGACCGAUAGCGGAUUAGUACCGUGAGGGAAUGGUGAAAAGUACCCCGGGAGGGGAGUGAAAGAGUACCUGAAACCGUGUGCCUACAAUCCGUCAGAGCCUCCUUUUCCUCUCCGGAGGAGGGUGGUGAUGGCGUGCCUUUUGAAGAAUGAGCCUGCGAGUCAGGGACAUGUCGCAAGGUUAACCCGUGUGGGGUAGCCGCAGCGAAAGCGAGUCUGAAUAGGGCGACCCACACGCGCAUACGCGCGUGUGAAUAGUGGCGUGUUCUGGACCCGAAGCGGAGUGAUCUACCCAUGGCCAGGGUGAAGCGCGGGUAAGACCGCGUGGAGGCCCGAACCCACUUAGGUUGAAGACUGAGGGGAUGAGCUGUGGGUAGGGGUGAAAGGCCAAUCAAACUCCGUGAUAGCUGGUUCUCCCCGAAAUGCAUUUAGGUGCAGCGUUGCGUGGUUCACCGCGGAGGUAGAGCUACUGGAUGGCCGAUGGGCCCUACUAGGUUACUGACGUCAGCCAAACUCCGAAUGCCGUGGUGUAAAGCGUGGCAGUGAGACGGCGGGGGAUAAGCUCCGUACGUCGAAAGGGAAACAGCCCAGAUCGCCGGCUAAGGCCCCCAAGCGUGUGCUAAGUGGGAAAGGAUGUGCAGUCGCAAAGACAACCAGGAGGUUGGCUUAGAAGCAGCCACCCUUGAAAGAGUGCGUAAUAGCUCACUGGUCAAGUGAUUGUGCGCCGAUAAUGUAGCGGGGCUCAAGCACACCGCCGAAGCCGCGGCACAUCCACCUUGUGGUGGGUGUGGGUAGGGGAGCGUCCCUCAUUCAGCGAAGCCACCGGGUGACCGGUGGUGGAGGGUGGGGGAGUGAGAAUGCAGGCAUGAGUAGCGACAAGGCAAGUGAGAACCUUGCCCGCCGAAAGACCAAGGGUUCCUGGGCCAGGCCAGUCCGCCCAGGGUGAGUCGGGACCUAAGGCGAGGCCGACAGGCGUAGUCGAUGGACAACGGGUUGAUAUUCCCGUACCCGUGUGUGGGCGCCCGUGACGAAUCAGCGGUACUAACCACCCAAAACCGGAUCGAUCACUCCCCUUCGGGGGUGUGGAGUUCUGGGGCUGCGUGGGAACUUCGCUGGUAGUAGUCAAGCGAAGGGGUGACGCAGGAAGGUAGCCGUACCAGUCAGUGGUAACACUGGGGCAAGCCGGUAGGGAGAGCGAUAGGCAAAUCCGUCGCUCACUAAUCCUGAGAGGUGACGCAUAGCCGGUUGAGGCGAAUUCGGUGAUCCUCUGCUGCCAAGAAAAGCCUCUAGCGAGCACACACACGGCCCGUACCCCAAACCGACACAGGUGGUCAGGUAGAGCAUACCAAGGCGUACGAGAUAACUAUGGUUAAGGAACUCGGCAAAAUGCCCCCGUAACUUCGGGAGAAGGGGGACCGGAAUAUCGUGAACACCCUUGCGGUGGGAGCGGGAUCCGGUCGCAGAAACCAGUGAGGAGCGACUGUUUACUAAAAACACAGGUCCGUGCGAAGUCGCAAGACGAUGUAUACGGACUGACGCCUGCCCGGUGCUGGAAGGUUAAGAGGACCCGUUAACCCGCAAGGGUGAAGCGGAGAAUUUAAGCCCCAGUAAACGGCGGUGGUAACUAUAACCAUCCUAAGGUAGCGAAAUUCCUUGUCGGGUAAGUUCCGACCUGCACGAAUGGCGUAACGACUUCUCAACUGUCUCAACCAUAGACUCGGCGAAAUUGCACUACGAGUAAAGAUGCUCGUUACGCGCGGCAGGACGAAAAGACCCCGGGACCUUCACUACAACUUGGUAUUGAUGUUCGGUACGGUUUGUGUAGGAUAGGUGGGAGACUGUGAAACCUCGACGCCAGUUGGGGCGGAGUCGUUGUUGAAAUACCACUCUGAUCGUAUUGGGCAUCUAACCUCGAACCCUGAAUCGGGUUUAGGGACAGUGCCUGGCGGGUAGUUUAACUGGGGCGGUUGCCUCCUAAAAUGUAACGGAGGCGCCCAAAGGUUCCC
This 2037-nucleotide ribosomal RNA is filed under the name Mycobacterium tuberculosis XTB13-232. RNAcentral's name for it is "bacterial LSU rRNA". It matches the Rfam family "Bacterial large subunit ribosomal RNA", at positions 448 to 2321 of the family's 2925-position model. The record is from RNAcentral. Lineage: Bacteria; Bacillati; Actinomycetota; Actinomycetes; Mycobacteriales; Mycobacteriaceae.